RNAcentral lists this ribosomal RNA (492 nucleotides) under uncultured bacterium. RNAcentral describes it as "partial 16S ribosomal RNA". It matches the Rfam family "Bacterial small subunit ribosomal RNA", at positions 29 to 507 of the family's 1533-position model. The record is from RNAcentral.
AGUGAACGCUGGCGGUAGGCCUAACACAUGCAAGUCGAACGGCAGCACAGUAAGAGCUUGCUCUUACGGGUGGCGAGUGGCGGACGGGUGAGGAAUACAUCGGAAUCUACUUUUUCGUGGGGGAUAACGUAGGGAAACUUACGCUAAUACCGCAUACGACCUACGGGUGAAAGCAGGGGAUCUUCGGACCUUGCGCGAUUGAAUGAGCCGAUGUCGGAUUAGCUAGUUGGCGGGGUAAAGGCCCACCAAGGCGACGAUCCGUAGCUGGUCUGAGAGGAUGAUCAGCCACACUGGAACUGAGACACGGUCCAGACUCCUACGGGAGGCAGCAGUGGGGAAUAUUGGACAAUGGGCGCAAGCCUGAUCCAGCUAUACCGCGUGGGUGAAGAAGGCCUUCGGGUUGUAAAGCCCUUUUGUUGGGAAAGAAAAGCAGCAGGUUAAUACCCCACUGUUCUGACGGUACCCAAAGAAUAAGCACCGGCUAACUUCGUG